GACAGAGGGUGCAAACGUUGUUCGGAAUUACUGGGCAUAAAGCGCACGUAGGUGGUCCGCUAAGUCGAGUGUGAAAUCCCUCGGCUCAACCGGGGAACUGCGUCUGAUACUGGGUGGCUUGAAUCCGGGAGAGGGAUGCGGAAUUCCAGGUGUAGCGGUGAAAUGCGUAGAUAUCUGGAGGAACACCGGUGGCGAAGGCGGCAUCCUGGACCGGCAUUGACGCUGAGGCGCGAAAGCCAGGGGAGCAAACGGG
This 253-nucleotide ribosomal RNA is filed under the name uncultured bacterium. RNAcentral's name for it is "partial 16S ribosomal RNA". It matches the Rfam family "Bacterial small subunit ribosomal RNA", at positions 524 to 776 of the family's 1533-position model. The record is from RNAcentral.